Molecule: long non-coding RNA, 373 nt
Organism: Oreochromis niloticus (Nile tilapia)
Lineage: Eukaryota; Metazoa; Chordata; Actinopteri; Cichliformes; Cichlidae
Exons: 3
Source: RefSeq, a predicted model, not a curated record
GUGAAGGCUCACCUUCCUGACUUCCGGCUCUGCCUUUCUCUCUUUUUUUUUGGACAACAGCCUGGCUGGGUCAUCAGAAUAGCAGCUGCACUUGAAAGGGAUUCUGAGCCAUCUGGUUCUGUCAGUAGUGGUGAAAUGUGAAGGUUGGGUGUGGGAGGAUGAAUGCUAUCAAAGGGGCCUGUCCUGCACUUGAUCAAGGGAGAAAUCCUGCAGGUGGCUGGCUGCUUGUCUCAGGAGUAACAUGGCCAGAGGCAAGAGAUCCACACAGGAGAGGCUCUCACAUCAAUUACCUGAAGUGCCUGGCAGCCAGUGCAACAAAUGGAGAUCCCAGUCGCUCUUUAUCAUAGCUCUGACAUUCAAUAUUAAAAAUACA